UUCUAUCUUUUAGAAUUAAUUACAAUGAAGAAUACACUUUUGAUAAAUUUAAUGCUUACUUUAAAUAGCUAUUGUGGAAGGCAGAUUGAUAAAAAAGCAGACAAACAAAUAAACAAAAAAACCCCCAAAGGAAUGAAAUCAUUCCAUAUGAAGCAGGAUAUAACCAAAUUCUGUUGCCGAGUAAGACUUGAAAAUUAUUUUCAAGGUCACAUUAAUGCAUCAUCUACUGGCUUUCCCCUGGCUUCUGCUGUUACUUUGCCAGAUUCAGAUUUGAUUUAAUAAGCAACAGUUUAAGAAUAACCAUUUAGGAGCUAUCCUUGCAAUGCUCAGAAACAUGUUCAACUUGAAAGCAUCUUGGAGACUUUGUUGAACCAGAAGGACCAUAUCCUGUGCAUUUCUCAUUUUGCCCUGAAAUAAAACCUCUACUUUUCUUGUCCUGGCACUCUUACUUAUAAAGCCUGGCCUAUAAGUUUAAAUAUAUUUUCCUGCAGGAACAAUCCUUGCUACUUUACCUUUGCUUCAACCACACUAAAUAGUUGACAAAGCACAACUGCCAACUUUAAUGGGCUUCGCCUCCCCAGCCACUCUUCUCUUUACAACAAGGGUCUUCAUAUUCCAAAUGGAUGGUUUCUAAAGAGAACCAUUCAAUCAGCUUACUUUUCUAACUCUAGUGCUAUCUAGUUAAAAACAAAAAAAAAGUCUCCUUUUUUUCUUAACUGUAGUGUGAUGUUUUUCCUUUUAUUUUAUGAAUUCAGGAUGCCUGAUUAUUAUAAACUGUUCAAGUUUUCUAUCUUACAUCACACGAAGUCCUCUGACUUAAAUUAUAACUCUUUAUUUUAACUCUGUUUCCACCGUAAGUGUGGAAUUCUGAGGCUGUUAGAUUAUACUUUUUGAAGCCAGUUUCCUAUUUCUAAGACAGUUCAGGGUCUAAGAGAACAGAUUGAGAAAUUCAUCGAAGAUUGUGGGGUGUUCAAUCAAAGUACCUCUUCUUUGAAAUUUCUUUCAUAUUUACUACAAUGCCUUUUCUUUGUCUAAUUUUGUUUUAUUGUGGUAAGAUCAAUCUUCUUAAUAAAGUUUUAAGUGUAUAAUACAUUAUUGCUGACUGUAGGUUGAAUGCAGUACAGCAGAUAUCUAGAGCUUAUUUAUUUUGCUUAAUUAAAACUUCAUACCCAUAGAUUAGUUACAUGGAACAAUAUUCUGUGAAAAGAGGUGGGAAAGGUUGGAGAAAAGUGAGAUAAUGACCUGGGAAUAUAAGUAGAAUUGCCAGAUAGAAUACAGAAUGCGCAGUUAACUUUGAAAUUCAGAUAACAAUGAAAUUUUUUUCUUCUAUAAGUAUGUCCCAUGCAAUAUUUGAAACAUACUUUUUCUAAAAACUUUUUCAUUGUUUAUAUAAACUUCAAAGUUAAUUGUCGUCCUGUAUUUUUAUUUGCUAAAUCUGCAGCCCUAGAUAUGCGAGAAGUCUUGGUACAAAGGGCAAGAGCUGGUCAUGAGUGAGAAAAACUGCAUGUGGAGCUGGGUACACCCGGAAGGAGUUGGAACAGGAAGACUCUAGAGGCAAGAAUGACUAUAGGAGUGUGCAUUAAAAGGGAGGAAAGAAAACCUGCUUCUUAGUUUCUACAGUUACACUUCAUGAGAAUAUUUAAGAAAUAAAAUGAAAAUAACCUAAUUACUUUUAUAAACAAAUAGACAAAACAUCAAAUGUUAAUGUUUUAUCACAUUCCCACGUAAAACCCCAAAUGUGGGCUUUUAUAAAUUCUGAAUUCAAACUAGUUUUAUUUUUACAAAUCAUUUCUCAUUUUAUCUGAAAUAGUAACAUCGGAACUGUACUUUGUAAAGUUUAUUUUUUAAUAAAAUUGCAUGUCUUUGGAAAAUAGUUUAUGUUCCAGGAUUUGUUUCAAGAUAAUUUAUGUGUUUGCCCUGUAUGUUUAUUCCCCACACCUGUAUUCUAAGCACAUAGCUGACCCUUUUGCAGAUAGACCUCUGAGAUGUUUUGGCCUGGCAGAAAUCUUCAGUUACCAUCUGGCUAGGAAAAGCCUAAAAAGAUAAAUGCUAAGAUUGCUUCUGAGGACAACUAGAGACAGAGGAAAUAAGUGACUAUCAGAGCAACAGGUAUGAAGAAGAAAAAUAUUUCCCAGGAAAGAAAAAGAGAUGGAGGAGGAGAAUGGGAUGGUGAGGACUGACAUAUUUCCUUGUGGUAGUACUCUGCCUGUAGACUGGUGAGUGAAUGAUUUCCUUGAGAUAUGGUUGAGGAGGCUCAUCCCCAGGGCAGACAUAGAGAUCCUCAGCCUUCGAAAGUACAUCAAACAGCUCAAGUACAAAUGGAGCAUAGGCAGACCUGAAGGGACCCUGAGCACUAGGCCUGCCGUACCUCAGUAGUAACCAUAACAGACUAAUGGCUGAUGACCCAGGGCGUUCCUCAUUUCCAGGUAUUACCUAAGACCUGGGAACCUUUGCAUAACACUGGGCAAAGGGGGUGGUCCACACGCCCCUGGUUAAAUUUCCCACCAGCACAGCAGAUAUCUAGAGCUUACUUAGAUAAGGUGAGGUGAGUCAGAAUUAAGCUGAUUUGGGAAAAAGAAAGUGAAAUUUCUUGCACGCCUGUGGCCUAAGAUUUAUACCCAUGCUACAUAUUUGCUUCAUUUGAAUUCCACGUUUACCAAUUACUGGGAGGAAACCUUGUAUUUUUUUUUUCUGAUAAUUAUGCCUAAGGUAUCAUGAUAUGAAAUACUAAUUUUAUAAUUUUUUCUAAGAUAUUGUAGGUUAUAGAGAAAUUCCCAAAUUGCUUGAUUUUGAUUCAAGUAGGCCAGACUGUAACUAAUUGUGUUUCCUCUAAGAUUUGAGAAUAAUUGAAUCUGCUUUUGCUUUUUGCCAAGUCCUAGAGAGUAGUGCUCGAUAUAAUAAUAUUUCCCUAGCAUUACUUCAGCAGUCAAACAAGAAUAUAAUCCAAAAAGCCCCCUGUAUUCACAAUGACAAUGCUCUUAUGAUGAAACCACAGAAAGAAGUUGUAAUUAAUGCAAGGAAUAAUGUGAACAAUCUAUUAACAUAAUCUGAAUGAAAUCCUUGCACUGUUAAAUGCAGACACUAAGUGCUCAUAUAAUACUUUAUUAAUUAACAAAGUAUUUAUCCACAGGGAAAUGAGGAUAAGAGACCAUACACUUUGUCAGACUACAGGAAAAUGUAUUAGUGCUUCAUAAGAAAUGCAUACAAUUCAAACAAUAGCAUGAUUAUCUUUUUAAAGCAAUUACAUUUAAUCUCAGAAGAAAGAAUAAAUACAUUAAUUCUUCCAUGUUCCCUGAUAAGCCACCAAGAUACAUAAGCGAUCAUUUUCUUUUCCUACAGCUCUGGAGGCUGGUGACAAUUCAGCGUGUGCUGCUUAGACAACUUAUACAGUGAAAUACCACUUAGCACACAAAAACACAUUAUGAGAUUAACUGACUUUUGGCUGAAUAGAGUUCUCUUCCCUGGGAAGCUGUGGUUUGUACUUAACUUUGCACAUUCCUUUCAUCUUUGGAGACUUGAAUCAUGAGAAGGUGGAUGCUUUAGUCUGGUUAGUAUUGUUAAAACAGAAUACCUGAGGCUGGGUAAUUUAUGAAUAAAACAGUUUUAUUUAACUCAUGGUUCUGCAUGCUGGGAAGUUCAAGAGCACGGCGCUGAUUUCUAGAAAGGCUUUCAUGCUGCAUCAUAGCAUGACAGAAAGUCAACAGGGGAGUGGAUGUGAAGAAGGGGCCAAAUAGGUAAAGGAAACUUGCUUUAUAACAACUUGCUGUUGUGGGAACUAAUCUAUAUCUGUGACAGCAGGAACUCACUUUUCAAGAAGGCCUUAACCUAUUCAUAGGGAUACACCCCCCAUGACUCAAACACCUCUGACUAGGCCCCACCUUCAAUACUGCUACACUGGCAAUAAAACUUCAAUAUGCAUUUUGACAGGAACAAACCACAUCCAAACCACAGCAGUGGAUUGCCUAUAAUAAUGGUGUUUGGUGUUGAAUUCCAAGUCUGUAUUUUGUUGUUGUUGUUGUUGUUGUUUUAUCUUGAUGUGCUGGGUUAAACCAAGUAUCAUCACCAAAAAUGUCUUCCACCUUUAAAGUUCCAAAUGGAAGCCAAAGUAGUUAGCACCAUGACUUCCUUCUUUCGGCCUCACUCGCUCUUCUUGACCUUCCAGACCUGGGAGCUGAUAAGCAGAAGGUCCACCCUGCAUCAUAUUAGCACAUUGUGACAUUAUAUGAUGAUCUACUUACAGGCCUUGUGGCCAACAACUAAUAAGACAGAGUUUUAGCCAACAUGGCUCUUAUUCAUCACCUCCUAAGCAAUAACCUGAUUAUCAGAGCUCCAGGUUCCAGCCCUAUACCAGUCUCUUGUCAAUCAGUAUCAGAAGGUCUGCUCCAGAUUAUCUUAUGGUUGCUUUAUAGCUGCCUCCAAUGGCUACUGGCUUCUCAGAAAUAUCCCUUUCCAGUUUAACCUAGGGACCAAGACCCAGAGUACUAUAUGCCCUCAGAUGUCAUAAUUCCUCACUGGGUUUGCAGCAGAUACAUGAGAGUUGAUAUAAGACUACAAUGGUAAAAAAAAGAAAAUGUAUCCUGAAUAAGAUGUUCAAUAGGAGAAGGCAUAGAAUCAAGAGACCUAAGUCCUCUAUGUCAUAUGGUAUGACAUUAAGAAAAUAAUUCCACCUUUAAGGCUUCUGUUUAUGAGAUCCAUAAAAUGGCUGUAUUAAUUAUUUUUCUGUUGCUUCCUGGGGACUGUUGUGAUGAAGAAUUAUUACCACACAUGUGAAAGGGUUUUGAUUUUUUGAAAAGUACAGAAUGUUAAACAAAUGCAUUGCAUCAUUGAAUUAAGUCAGCCCUUCAUAAUGUUUUUCCUAAAGCAUGUCCAUCAACCAUUGCAAUGUACCAUGGAAAAAAAUGCUUAUAAAUGUUACAUGAUCGAAUACAUUUGGCAAAAACUACCUAUGGUAUCUUCUUCUAAAAGAUGGAUGAUGCUUGUUGGCAUAAUAAAGAUUCGGAAAAUUCCUAUCAAAAAGACACUUGUUAAAUUUUGGUUAACUCAAUGUUUUCCUUACUUUUUUGACCGCUGAACUUUUUUUAAAAAUGGCAUUAGCCAUGAGGGGAAAAGACAUAAAAAUAUAAAACAACAACAAGUAUUUCAUGAAACUAGUUUUCUAUAAAGCAUAAUUUAAGAAGCUGGGUAGAAAGCUGUUUCAAAUGUGACCCUGAAAUGAAAUGUGAAGACAUCAUAGUUUGUAAAAAAAAAGUUGCUUAUUUUUAUGUAAGUAUUCUUAGGCUAAAGCUUGAAUCGUGUCAAUAUGAAAUUAAAAGGUAUCCUAUGUUGUUUUCCACCAAGUUUUAUGGCUUUCCAUUCAUCAAUUUAAAUAUUAUGGUUAAGAUACUGAUAUUUCUAGGCAAAGGGCAAGGAGACAGUCAGAACUUCUCACAUUCCUCAUUGCUGCCACAACUUCCUUCCCAACCACCUCGGUGAAAAACAAACAUCGGAAGGGAGGAGGUAAGGGGAAAAGUGAACAAAUCCUUUCAACCAACCCUGUAUGUCAGGAGAUGACUAUCCAAGUAAAAUUAUAAGAUCAGUAUCAUUUUCAAAAUCUGGCAACCAGAGAACAGCAAUGGGCCAGGUUUUGAGUUUGGUUUCCAUGCACCUUAUCACUUUCUCUCACUUCUCUGUCUCCAUCUUCCUUAGUCAUUUUUCUCAUUGUGUCUUCUUUGGUUUUCUUUAGCAACUCUAUUUCUUUUUUUUUAAUUUUUUUUAUUUUUUUUUAUUUUUUAGAUAUUAUUGAUUGUAAAGUAUACCAUGGAUUUAGUAAUAACUUGGGCAGAAAGAAAGUAGAUAUAGUGAUUUUUUACAGAUCAAUUCUGUAAAAUCAUAUGAUUUUAUAAAUUUAUUUGAAUAAAAGACAACCAUAAAGUACUUGCUAUUACACCAAACACAAUUCUAGGCCCUUUUUAUUUAUAAUUCAUUUACUCUUCAUAAUUACUUGAUCAUAGAUACUCUUGUCUUUAUUUACAGAUGAGGAAACUGAAGCAGAGAAAUAAGGAAUCUGUCCAAAUCUCACAGCAAUGAUAGCACAGUUCAGAGGACCAAGAAGCUGAGGGAUAGUGCAAUGUGAGGCAAUACCCUUAAUGGCUCAUAGGCAGAAGAGACUUGCCUUGUCAUGGUUGAGACUUUGGACUGUGGACUUUUGAGUUAAUGCCAAAAUAAGUUGAGACUUGGGGGACUGUGGAAAGGAAUUACUGCUCCGUGGAAGGAAAAAUCAGCUCUUGCAUAAAUCAUAUCUUUUUCUGUCAGAUUUGGGUUCAUUUGGUCGACUGGCAUUUAUGGAGUGCUCCUUACAAAGUGAAUAAGUAAUAAGAAUUCCUGACCUCAUGGAGUUUACAAUCUGGAGAUGGAGUUCCCCUAUUUCCUUCUUUGUUUUGCCAACUUCCAAGGGGCUCUGUGAUUUCCUAAGAGAAUGAAGGAGGAAGGUGUGCACUUCUAAACAAAAUGGAGGCUCAUGAGCAAAACCUGCGGAGCUGCCCGGCAAUGAAGUGAAGAGACUUGUAACUUGGUGCCUGAGCCUGUUCUAGAUGAGGGAGGGAAAGGAAGGAGUUCAUUUGGAAUCGGAAGAAAAUGAAAAGAACGGCUCUCCCAUGCGCUUGUCCUGAGCCUGGAGCUGCUGCUUAUAAUUUCUCCAUGAGAAAUGAUUACUGCUUGUUUUAAAACACCCAUGCUGUGUUGAAUCUUGCACAGAAAACAUUAUGAUCUCGACACUUUCCUUCUCAUAACUGAAGCACACACUUUAAGACGAGUAUUUUAUAUUCUCAGCUCCAAUUAACCUGAAGUGUUUCUCUUCCCUAUGUCUCCCCCCACCCCCACACCCUUCACCUGAGUCUAUCCUUCUACCCUUUGUAACAGACAGAUUUUGUUUUUCCAGGAGGGGAUGUGUGAUAUACUCUGUUAUAAUUAAUAAGUGUAGGCACUGGAAAACAGGAAGGGGCAUGAUAUAAAGUAGUAGAUGAGCAGCUUCACUCUUUCUCCACUAUAUUCCUACUUCCUAUCCCUUUUCCUCCACUCACUGUGGAUGGUUAUUUGAAAUAACAGGCAUGGAUAAGAGAAAAUAAAAGCUACCAUUUGUCUCUGAGGCUGCACCCUUUUGUAGCCCCACCCAUUCAUCCAUAUGUGGCUUUCCCAUUCAUUCCAGUAAUAAUACCAAUUACUAUGCAGGCAAGGCCAUUCUUAUUCACAUUUGCAGCUCACUGUGGACAUUUAUGCUACACUCUGAGCAACAUUCAUAUCUUCAACAACAUCGAUUAUACAGCUGUUGUACAGUCAUUGUAAAUGAAAUAUACAAUGCCUCAUUCAGCUCGCCGAAUCAUUUGUGAUCCUUGGAUGUGGGGCAGGAGGGAGGUAGCUGUUCCCUCUGCCUUACUUUUCUCUGGCACUGACCUCAUUUUCUAAGUCCAGAUACUUCCAGGGGCUUAGGGUAAGGAAGAGGCCAACAGGCCAGUUUGUAAAUAAGAACCAAAAAAGCUGAAGCAGUGGUUUGUUUUUGUUUGUUUGUUUUAGUUUUUUGAAGGAGGGACUUUGGAAUCCAGUUUAAUGGAAAAAGGAGGCCCCAGAGUCUUCAGCGUUACAAACAAUGACUGUUCCUGGACUUGUGUGAACACACAUCCCAGGUCAGACAGAUGGACCUUGACUCAAGCUUUCUGAGAUCACCCAACCAGAAUGUCCAGUGUAGGCACAUGCUUCUCUCUUUGUGCUAUUUCCUCUCUUUCCUCAUCAACUUUCCUCCUCUGUUCUCAACAGGUUACAUUUAUUGGGCAAAACCAUUAUUACAUAUCCGUUUUUUCUUCUUUGAGGAAAUUUUUAAAUUUGGUCUGCCUUUUCCAAAGAUAUCUAAUUCAUGAAUCUUUCGAUGUUCUUUUCUUUCCCCAAUUUUGGUUCUUUCAGCCCUCAGACUCAGAUAGCUGAAUUGACAUACACAAGAUGCUCUACACGUGACCAUCCACUCACCCAUGUACAGUCACAUGCAACGAUUGCAAGUCAAAUUAUGUUUGUUUUAUAGAUAAAAAGGUCAAUGUCUUAAAGAAGGCUAUAUAGAUAAUAAAUGAUGGAACUGAGACUUGAGUGAAAAGACUAGCUUUUUUCUCUAUAAAAAUUUAUUUUUAUUUAUCAAACGCUUUGAUAUUUCUUUAUCUAAAGUUUUUCAAAUAAACUUUUUUAUAUUUUA
Non-coding RNA from Chlorocebus sabaeus (green monkey), 8212 nucleotides. The record is from RefSeq and is a predicted model, not a curated record. Lineage: Eukaryota; Metazoa; Chordata; Mammalia; Primates; Cercopithecidae.